AACGAACGCUGGCGGCAUGCCUAACACAUGCAAGUCGAACGAAACCUUCGGGUGUAGUGGCGCACGGGUGCGUAACGCGUGGGAACAUGCACUUAGGUUCGGAAUACCUCCCCGAAAGGGGUGCUAAUGCCGGAUAGUGUCUUAGGACCAAAGAUUUAUCGCCUUUGGAUGUGCACGCGUUGGAUUCGCUCGUUGGUAGGGUAAAAGCAUAGCAAGGCGACGAUCAAUAGCUGGUCAGAGAGGAUGAUCAGCAACACCUGGACUGAGACACGGCCCAGACUCCUACGGGAGGGAGGAGUGGGUAAUAGAGCACAACGGGGUAAGUCCUGAUCCAGCAAGGCCGGGAGAGCGAUGAUGGCCGUAGGGUUGUAAUGUUCUAUUAACCGUGAUGAUAAUGACGGUACCUGGUGAAUAAGCCCCGGCUAACUCCGUG
This 433-nucleotide ribosomal RNA is filed under the name uncultured bacterium. Its description in RNAcentral is "partial 16S ribosomal RNA". It matches the Rfam family "Bacterial small subunit ribosomal RNA", at positions 29 to 507 of the family's 1533-position model. The record is from RNAcentral.